GACGAACGCUGGCGGCGUGCUUAACACAUGCAAGUCGAACGGAAAGGCCCUGCUUUUGUGGGGUGCUCGAGUGGCGAACGCGUGAGUAACACGUGAGUAACCUGCCCUUUACUUUGGGAUAACUUCAGGAAACUGGGGCUAAUACCCGGUAUGAACACCUGCUGCAUGGGGUGGGUUGGUAAGUUUCGGCGUUGUGGGAUGGACUGGCGGCUUCGCCGCUUGUUGGUGGGGUAGUGGAUUACCAAGGCUUUGACGGGUGGCCGGCCUGAGAGGGUGACCGGCCACAUUGGGAUUGAGAUACGGCCCAGACUCCUACGGGAGGCAGCGGUGGGAAAUAUUGCACAAUGGGCGGAAGCAUGAUGCAGCAACGCCGCGUGCUGGAUGACUGCUGUCGGGGUGUAACCCGCUUUCGCCUGUGACGAAGCGUGAGUGACGGUAAUGGGUAAAGAAGCAACGGCUAACUACGUG
RNAcentral lists this ribosomal RNA (468 nucleotides) under uncultured bacterium. Its description in RNAcentral is "partial 16S ribosomal RNA". It matches the Rfam family "Bacterial small subunit ribosomal RNA", at positions 28 to 507 of the family's 1533-position model. The record is from RNAcentral.